RNAcentral lists this ribosomal RNA (497 nucleotides) under uncultured bacterium. RNAcentral describes it as "partial 16S ribosomal RNA". It matches the Rfam family "Bacterial small subunit ribosomal RNA", at positions 28 to 507 of the family's 1533-position model. The record is from RNAcentral.
GACGAACGCUGGCGGCGUGCCUAAUACAUGCAAGUUGAGCGCUGAAGGUUGGUACUUGUACCAACUGGAUGAGCAGCGAACGGGUGAGUAACGCGUGGGGAAUCUGCCUUUGAGCGGGGGACAACAUUUGGAAACGAAUGCUAAUACCGCAUAAAAACUUUAAACACAAGUUUUAAGUUUGAAAGAUGCAAUUGCAUCACUCAAAGAUGAUCCCGCGUUGUAUUAGCUAGUUGGUGAGGUAAAGGCUCACCAAGGCGAUGAUACGUAGCCGACCUGAGAGGGUGAUCGGCCACAUUGGGACUGAGACACGGCCCAAACUCCUACGGGAGGCAGCAGUAGGGAAUCGUCGGCAAUAGACGAAAGUCUGACCGAGCAACGCCGCGUGAGUGAAGAAGGUUUUCGGAUCGUAAAACUCUGUUGGUAGAGAAGAACGUUGGUGAGAGUGGAAAGCUCAUCAAGUGACGGUAACUACCCAGAAAGGGACGGCUAACUGCGUG